UACGUAGGGUGCGAGCGUGUCCGGAAUAUUGGGCGUAAAGAGCUCGUAGGCGGUUUGUCGCGUCUGCUGUGAAAACCUGAGGCUCAACCUCGGGCUUGCAGUGGGUACGGGCAGACUAGAGUGCGGUAGGGGAGAUUGGAAUUCCUGGUGUAAGCGGUGGAAUGCGCAGAUAUCAGGAGGAACACCGAUGGCGAAGGCAGAGUCUCGGGCCGUAACUGACGCUGAGGAGCGAAAGCAUGGGGAGCGAACAGG
This 252-nucleotide ribosomal RNA is filed under the name uncultured bacterium. RNAcentral's name for it is "partial 16S ribosomal RNA". It matches the Rfam family "Bacterial small subunit ribosomal RNA", at positions 524 to 776 of the family's 1533-position model. The record is from RNAcentral.